RNAcentral lists this ribosomal RNA (493 nucleotides) under uncultured Escherichia sp. Its description in RNAcentral is "bacterial SSU rRNA". It matches the Rfam family "Bacterial small subunit ribosomal RNA", at positions 30 to 510 of the family's 1533-position model. The record is from RNAcentral. Lineage: Bacteria; Pseudomonadati; Pseudomonadota; Gammaproteobacteria; Enterobacterales; Enterobacteriaceae.
AUUGAACGCUGGCGGCAGGCCUAACACAUGCAAGUCGAACGGUAACAGGAAGAAGCUUGCUUCUUUGCUGACGAGUGGCGGACGGGUGAGUAAUGUCUGGGAAACUGCCUGAUGGAGGGGGAUAACUACUGGAAACGGUAGCUAAUACCGCAUAACGUCGCAAGACCAAAGAGGGGGACCUUCGGGCCUCUUGCCAUCGGAUGUGCCCAGAUGGGAUUAGCUUGUUGGUGGGGUAACGGCUCACCAAGGCGACGAUCCCUAGCUGGUCUGAGAGGAUGACCAGCCACACUGGAACUGAGACACGGUCCAGACUCCUACGGGAGGCAGCAGUGGGGAAUAUUGCACAAUGGGCGCAAGCCUGAUGCAGCCAUGCCGCGUGUAUGAAGAAGGCCUUCGGGUUGUAAAGUACUUUCAGCGGGGAGGAAGGGAGUAAAGUUAAUACCUUUGCUCAUUGACGUUACCCGCAGAAGAAGCACCGGCUAACUCCGUGCCA